This is a non-coding RNA of Pteropus alecto (black flying fox), 74 nucleotides long. NCBI's taxonomy places the organism in Eukaryota, Metazoa, Chordata, Mammalia, Chiroptera, Pteropodidae. The record is from Rfam.
GGCUCCAUAGUGUAGUGGUUAGCACACCUGCUUUACACAUAGAAGGUCCUGGGUUCAAGUCCCAGGUGGAGCCA